Molecule: ribosomal RNA, 641 nt
Filed under: Streptomyces sp. I13A-01612
Lineage: Bacteria; Bacillati; Actinomycetota; Actinomycetes; Kitasatosporales; Streptomycetaceae
Description: bacterial SSU rRNA
Rfam family: Bacterial small subunit ribosomal RNA
Source: RNAcentral
GAACGGGUGAGUAACACGUGGGCAAUCUGCCCUGCACUCUGGGACAAGCCCUGGAAACGGGGUCUAAUACCGGAUACGACCUGCCCUCGCAUGGGGGUGGGUGGAAAGCUCCGGCGGUGCAGGAUGAGCCCGCGGCCUAUCAGCUUGUUGGUGAGGUAGUGGCUCACCAAGGCGACGACGGGUAGCCGGCCUGAGAGGGCGACCGGCCACACUGGGACUGAGACACGGCCCAGACUCCUACGGGAGGCAGCAGUGGGGAAUAUUGCACAAUGGGCGAAAGCCUGAUGCAGCGACGCCGCGUGAGGGAUGACGGCCUUCGGGUUGUAAACCUCUUUCAGCAGGGAAGAAGCGAAAGUGACGGUACCUGCAGAAGAAGCGCCGGCUAACUACGUGCCAGCAGCCGCGGUAAUACGUAGGGCGCGAGCGUUGUCCGGAAUUAUUGGGCGUAAAGAGCUCGUAGGCGGCUUGUCACGUCGAUUGUGAAAGCCCGGGGCUUAACCCCGGGUCUGCAGUCGAUACGGGCAGGCUAGAGUUCGGUAGGGGAGAUCGGAAUUCCUGGUGUAGCGGUGAAAUGCGCAGAUAUCAGGAGGAACACCGGUGGCGAAGGCGGAUCUCUGGGCCGAUACUGACGCUGAGGAGCG